UACAGAGGUCCCAAGCGUUGUUCGGAUUCACUGGGCGUAAAGGGUGCGUAGGUGGUGGGGUAAGUCGGAUGUGAAAGCUCGGAGCUCAACUCCGAAAUGGCGUUGGAAACUACCCUGCUAGAGGAUUGGAGGGGGGACUGGAAUACUUGGUGUAGCAGUGAAAUGCGUAGAUAUCAAGUGGAACACCAGUGGCGAAGGCGAGUCCCUGGACAAUUCCUGACACUGAGGCACGAAAGCUAGGGGAGCAAACAGG
Molecule: ribosomal RNA, 253 nt
Filed under: uncultured bacterium
Lineage: Bacteria
Description: partial 16S ribosomal RNA
Rfam family: Bacterial small subunit ribosomal RNA
Source: RNAcentral